CCUACGGGGUGCAGCAGUGGGGAAUAUUGGGCAAUGGGCGCAAGCCUGACCCAGCAACGCCGCGUGAAGGAAGAAGGCUUUCGGGUCGUAAACUUCUUUUGUCAGGGAAGAGUAGAAGACGGUACCUGACGAAUAAGCCACGGCUAACUACGUGCCAACAGCCGCGGGUAUCUGUAGGUGGCAAGCGUUGUCCGGAUUUACUGGGUGGAAAGGGCGUGUAGCCGGGUUGACAAGUGAGAUGUGAAAUCCUGCGGCUUAACCGCAGAACUGCAUUUGAAAUUGGUGAUCUUGAGUACUGGAGAGGCAGACGGAAUUCCUAGUGUAGCGGUGAAAUGCGUAGAUAUUAGGAGGAACACCAGUGGCGAAAGCGGUCUGCUGGACAGCAACUGACGGUGAGGCGCGAAAGCGUGGGGAGCAAACAGGAUUAGAUACCCUUGUAGUC
This 442-nucleotide ribosomal RNA is filed under the name uncultured bacterium. RNAcentral describes it as "partial 16S ribosomal RNA". It matches the Rfam family "Bacterial small subunit ribosomal RNA", at positions 338 to 795 of the family's 1533-position model. The record is from RNAcentral.